Molecule: ribosomal RNA, 449 nt
Filed under: uncultured bacterium
Lineage: Bacteria
Description: partial 16S ribosomal RNA
Rfam family: Bacterial small subunit ribosomal RNA
Source: RNAcentral
CCUCCAGACUCCUACGGGAGGCAGCAGUGGGGAAUAUUGCACAAUGGGGGAAACCCUGAUGCAGCAACGCCGCGUGAGUGAAGAAGUAUUUCGGUAUGUAAAGCCCUAUCGGCAGGGAAGAAGAAAUGACGGUACCUGAAUAAGAAGCACCGGCUAAAUACGUGCCAGCAGCCGCGGUAAUACGUAUGGUGCAAGCGUUAUCCGGAUUUACUGGGCGUAAAGGGAGCGCAGGCGGCGCGCCAAGUCUGAUGUGAAACCCCGGGGCUCAACCCCGGGACUGCAUUGGAAACUGUCAGGCUAGGGUGUCGGAGAGGCAAGUGGAAUUCCUAGUGUAGCGGUGAAAUGCGUAGAUAUUAGGAGGAACACCAGUUGCGAAGGCGGCUCUCUGGACUGUAACUGACACUGAGGCACGAAAGCGUGGGGAGCAAACAGGAUUAGAUACCCCAGUA